This 210-nucleotide ribosomal RNA is filed under the name uncultured Lactobacillales bacterium. RNAcentral's name for it is "partial 16S ribosomal RNA". It matches the Rfam family "Bacterial small subunit ribosomal RNA", at positions 568 to 774 of the family's 1533-position model. The record is from RNAcentral. Lineage: Bacteria; Bacillati; Bacillota; Bacilli; Lactobacillales.
AGCGCGAGGCGGUUGAAAUAGUCUGAUGUGAAAGCCCACGGCUUAACCGUGGAAGGUCGAUUGGAAACUGUUCAACUUGAAUACGAGAAGAGGUAAGUGGAAUUCCAAGUGUAGCGGUGAAAUGCGUAGAUAUUUGGAGGAACACCAGUGGCGAAGGCGACUUACUGGUCUGUAAUUGACGCUGAGGCUCGAAAGCGUGGGUAGCAAACA